Molecule: ribosomal RNA, 253 nt
Filed under: uncultured bacterium
Lineage: Bacteria
Description: partial 16S ribosomal RNA
Rfam family: Bacterial small subunit ribosomal RNA
Source: RNAcentral
GACGAACCGUGCGAACGUUGUUCGGAAUCACUGGGCUUAAAGGGCGCGUAGGCGGGCUGCCAAGUCAGAGGUGAAAUCUUUCGGCUUAACCGGAAAAGAGCCCCUGAUACUGGCGGCCUCGAGUGGGGUAGGGGCACGCGGAACUUCCGGUGUAGCGGUGAAAUGCGUAGAUAUCGGAAGGAACAUCAGUGGCGAAAGCGACUUCCUGGAUCAGUACCGACGUUCAGGCACGAAAGCGUGGGGAGCAAACAGG